GAUCUUCUGUCUGGCUGGUGCUUAUUGACUGUGUAGGCUAAUAAAGAGCUGCAAUUAGUGUAAUUAGUAUUUGAUCCUUUGCAUAGCUAUUUCUUACACAUUCAAUACAACAAUAUCCAGUUACACUUCACACAAUUCUGAUAUUGUGUGUGUGGGGGGUCAGAAUAUGCCCCAGGAAACAGCAUGGAAAAUGAACAGAUCAUAAAGAAGAUCAUACAGGUACCUCAGCCAAUAGAUAUUCUGGGCUGAGUGAAUGGACUGGAUAGGGCUGAGUGACUGGACUGGAUAGGGCUGAGUGACUGGACUGGAUAGGGCUGAGUGACAGGACUGGAUAGGGCUGAGUGACUGGACUGGGUAGGGCUGAGUGACUGGACUGGAUAGGGCUGAGUGACAGGACUGGAUAGGGCUGAGUGAAUGGACUGGAUAGGGCUGAGUGACUGGACUGGAUAGGGCUGAGUGACAGGACUGGAUAGGGCUGAGUGACUGGACUGGAUAGGGCUGAGUGACUGGACUGGAUAGGGCUGAGUGACUGGACUGGAUAGGGCUGAGUGACUGGACUGGAUAGGGCUGAGUGACAGGACUGGAUAGGGCUGAGUGACUGGACUGGAUAGGGCUGAGUGACUGGACUGGAUAGGGCUGAGUGACUGGACUGGAUAGGGCUGAGUGACAGGACUGGAUAGGGCUGAGUGACUGGACUGGAUAGGGCUGAGUGACUGGACUGGAUAGGGCUGAGUGACUGGACUGGGUGAGUGGUCUGGAUAGGGCUGGGUGAAGGUGAAGUUAAUAUCAUACUUUUUAUUGAUGUGGGUAUAAUUCCCAAACCUCCUUUCCUGCUUACUGAAAGGCAGAUGUAGAAAAGGCAUAAUGCUGAGGAUACUACAUGAAUUGCUAUGGCAACUGGCCUACUUUUCUUAAUGCAUACCAACCUCCUUGUGAAUGUUUACCUUUAAACAGGUUAACAUACACAAGGCCGCAGGGCCAGACGGAUUACCAGGACGUGUACUGCGAGCAUGCGCUGACCAACUAGCAAAUGUCUUCACUGACAUUUCCAACCUCUCCCUGUCCGAGUCUGUAAUACCAACAUGUUUCAAGCAGACCACCAGAGUCCCUGUGCCCAAGAACACUAAGGUAACCUGCCUAAAUGACUACAGACCCGUAGCACUCACGUCUGUAGCCAUGAAGUGAUUUGAAAGGCUGGUCAUGGCUCACAUCAACACCAUUAUCCCAGAAACCCUAGACCCACUCCAAUUUGCAUACUGCCCCAACAGAUCCACAGAUGAUGCAAUCUCUAUUGCACUCCACACUGCCCUUUCACACCUGGACAAAAGGAACACCUAUGUGAGAAUGUUAUUCAUUGACUACAUGUAAUGCACUAGUUAGAAGAAGUGUCGGAGUCAGGCGCAGGACACAUGGAUGAGUGUAAACAAAAUGCGUGUUUACUAAAAUUCAUGAAUAAACUUCUUCUAAUAGAAAAUACAGGAUUGGGGAACAACCCCUCCAAGAACACAAAACAGGAAACCGACAAGACAAACAGGAAAUGCAGAGGGUUAAAUAAUAAACAUAAUUAGGGAAAUCAAAAACGGGUGUACACAAUAAAG
RNAcentral lists this long non-coding RNA (1598 nucleotides) under Salmo salar (Atlantic salmon). RNAcentral describes it as "lncRNA (ENSSSAG00000110805.1)". The record is from RNAcentral. Lineage: Eukaryota; Metazoa; Chordata; Actinopteri; Salmoniformes; Salmonidae.